GAUGAACGCUGGCGGCGUGCCUAAUACAUGCAAGUCGAACGGUACUCUUUCGGGAGUACAGUGGCGAACGGGUGAGUAAUACAUAAGGAACCUGCCCUCGGGACCGGGAUAGCUGAUGGAAACGUCAGGUAAUAGCGGAUGUGAGUCAUUAUGGCAUCAUGAUGACUUGAAAGGAUGCAGCAAUGCAUCGCGCGGGGAUGGCCUUAUGGCGCAUUAGCCAGUUGGCGGGGUAACGGCCCACCAAAGCGAUGAUGCGUAGCCGAUCUGACGAGGACGACCGGCCACAUUGGGACUGAGACACGGCCCAGACUCCUACGGGAGGCAGCAGUAGGGAAUUUUCGGCAAUGGGCGCAAGCCUGACCGAGCAACGCCGCGUGAGUGUUAAGGCCUUCGGGUUGUAAAGCUCUGUUGCCGGGGACGAACGGUACUUAUAGGAAAUGAUAAGUAAGUGACGGUACCCGGCGAGAAAGCCACGGCUAACUACGUG
This 487-nucleotide ribosomal RNA is filed under the name uncultured bacterium. RNAcentral describes it as "bacterial SSU rRNA". It matches the Rfam family "Bacterial small subunit ribosomal RNA", at positions 28 to 507 of the family's 1533-position model. The record is from RNAcentral.